Cydia splendana is the source of this 1553-nucleotide long non-coding RNA. RefSeq lists it as uncharacterized. The record is from RefSeq and is a predicted model, not a curated record. Lineage: Eukaryota; Metazoa; Arthropoda; Insecta; Lepidoptera; Tortricidae. The transcript is spliced from 2 exons.
CAUAUUUCCAACAAUUUAUAAAUGCGGAACAUUUUGGACAGGUCAACCUAUUGAAACUUAUCUAACGCCUAACUUAUCUGCUAAUUAAAAUACUGAAAACUUUUGAUAGUCCUUGAAUAAAGCUCAAUAGCGAGCCCUCCGACGCUAGAUAUUUAUGAGGAGGGUCUCACAAAGAUCUGCUCCCGGGAGCCUCUUCUUGUGCUAAGUUAAAAAUACGGGUUGGCCGUAUCAGGGAAAUUUCUUGUAACUUUGUAACCGUCUAAAGGCCAAGCUUUAGAAAAAUCUAGAAAGUUCAUGAAACAAUGGUCCAACACCAUCUAGAACUGGAGAGGAGCGUCCCAUUCCCACCCCUUUCUGCGAGUUCCGCAAAGAAAGAGCAGGCAGCUCGGAGCGUCCGAUUGUGGCGCGCUUUCCUGCGAGGCUGAAAGCCGAGCUUUCGCAGGAGAGUAGACCUUAAAUUGUUUCAAUGCCCAAAUGCAAGCGAUGCCGAAAGCCGGGCUCCACAAAAGGUGUUCAAAAUUUCUUUUAUCUAUUGGCAGCGGGCACAAUCGUGCGAGGUCAAAGACUGAGCUUCAGUGGAGCUGACCUCAAACAAGAACCAAUAGCCGAAUGUAUUAAAAAGCAAGGCCGAAGGCCCGGGGGAGCUUCAGAUAGGGGCACAUUUCCGUAAAAGGCCAAAUAUCAAUCUGCAAGAGUGCAGAACUUUGCUAAGAAGGCCAAAGGCCGAGGUCCGCAUAAACGCUGAAGGCCCAGUCCUUCUGAUCACGUUGCGCUUCCAUAUAAGACCUAACUUAACUAAGAGAGCUUGAAAUUUAACCAAUGUGAUCUCGGACCCUCCUGCGGCUUGACCUUUGCAUUUUUCCUCGAAAGUGCGACUUGUUGAGUCUACAACCCUAUGGAGUUUGUUAUUUAUAAUAAUUAUUUUGAUUAUUGGGGCUUUUGGUGUUUCGUAGAGUACGCUCUUCGACCUCCAACGGCUUCAGAGCUCAAGAUCGUGUUUGCGGUCCGCUAGUUUGCUUUUUAAUACACAACUAUUUGUUCGUCUCCAAGCUCUGCUGUCCUGCAGCUUUACUUCGGCCCGCCGUUCCCUUUGAAACAGCUUAUCAUGGUCGUGUCCGAAAUGUAAUAUUCUGGCCCACUUCAUUAUUUAAAAAAAAUAGCAUCUGCCCUUUACAAAGACGGCUAAGUCACAUUACCUACAUCGAUACUGGAUAGUUUAAAAUUAUACCUCAGUUAUUUCCCGAAUAAUAUAUUUUAUCAUAAAUAACGAUUGUUUUUUAUAACAAUUUCUAGAUAAUUUAAGCUUUUUUAAUUUCAUUUAUGUAAGCAGUUUUUUUACAUUACAAAUCUCAUUUAAUAUGUUUCUAGUUCUGACAAAUAAUGAGACCGAAGAGGAAUACUGAAACAUCGUAAAAAGUAUUGUUAAAAAGUAGGUUAUUAUAUUAAACAGGUCAACAGGGUAGAUAUACUUUUUAAAAGCCAAGAUAUUUAUGGUUCCAUCGUUUAAAAUAUUAUCACUUUGAUUUUGACCAAUAAAGUUAAUUUAUAUUUAA